This 358-nucleotide ribosomal RNA is filed under the name Haptophyta environmental samples. Its description in RNAcentral is "SSU rRNA". It matches the Rfam family "Eukaryotic small subunit ribosomal RNA", at positions 595 to 957 of the family's 1831-position model. The record is from RNAcentral. Lineage: Eukaryota; Haptophyta.
UAGCGUAUAUUAAAGUUGUUGCAGUUAGAACGCUCGUAGUCGGAUUUCGGGGCGGGUCGACCGGUCUGCCGAUGGGUACGCACUGGCCGACGCGUCCUUUUUGCCGGAGACCGUCCCUACUCUUAACUGAGCGGGGUCGGGAGACGGCACUUUUACUUUGAAAAAAUCAGAGUGUUUCAAGCAGGCAGCUCGCUCUUGCAUGGAUUAGCAUGGGAUAAUGAAAUAGGACUUUGGUGCUAUUUUGUUGGUUUCGAACACCGAAGUAAUGAUGAGAAGGGACAGUCAGGGGCACUCGUAUUCCGCCGAGAGAGGUGAAAUUCUCAGACCAGCGGAAGACGAACCACUGCGAAAGCAUUUG